GGUCAGAUAGCUUAAUUGGUAGAGCAACCCAGGCCAAUAUCAUAUGAUCAUUAUCAUUAUAUGGCUCAUGGGUGGAUUCGGGUUCGAAUCCCAUCUGACCU
RNAcentral lists this transfer RNA (101 nucleotides) under Dreissena polymorpha. It matches the Rfam family "tRNA". Rfam says of the family: Transfer RNA (tRNA) molecules are approximately 80 nucleotides in length. Their secondary structure includes four short double-helical elements and three loops (D, anti-codon, and T loops). Further hydrogen bonds mediate the characteristic L-shaped molecular structure. tRNAs have two regions of fundamental functional importance: the anti-codon, which is responsible for specific mRNA codon recognition, and the 3' end, to which the tRNAs corresponding amino acid is attached (by aminoacyl-tRNA synthetases). tRNAs cope with the degeneracy of the genetic code in two manners: having more than one tRNA (with a specific anti-codon) for a particular amino acid; and 'wobble' base-pairing, i.e. permitting non-standard base-pairing at the 3rd anti-codon position. The record is from Rfam by way of RNAcentral. Lineage: Eukaryota; Metazoa; Mollusca; Bivalvia; Myida; Dreissenidae.